UGCUGUACAGAUUAACCGUAUUAGUAGGAGC
RNAcentral lists this non-coding RNA (31 nucleotides) under Rattus norvegicus (Norway rat). The record is from RNAcentral. Lineage: Eukaryota; Metazoa; Chordata; Mammalia; Rodentia; Muridae.